CAGCUAUCGAGGCAUGACGCAGGCCACUGACUCACCACGCCAGGCUGACUCACCUCCCAGGGCACAGCCUGGGGACUGUGCGGGCCCAGCCGGCGGAGCCCCAACCUGGAGAAGCCCGCUCGCCCCAGGAGGCCUCCAUUACCAGCGUCCGCCCCCACACCCCCGAAACCGGCUGCGUCUGCCCACGCUGCCACAGCCAUCGCAGAAUCACACGUGGAUGGCUUCAUUUCCCACCUGGGCCUGGGGGCCAAGGAUGCCUAAUUCCUGGAGCGGAGAUGGGUUGAGCCUAGAGAGCCCACCUGGGCUGACGGCUCUGGAAACACAUCAGUCAUGCUGAGCUGUGGGGACCAAGGGGGAGCCUGGAGAGAACGUGGCGCCGGAAACGGAAACGUCUGUGCGGACCAAGGGGGU
Molecule: long non-coding RNA, 411 nt
Filed under: Pan troglodytes (chimpanzee)
Lineage: Eukaryota; Metazoa; Chordata; Mammalia; Primates; Hominidae
Description: long non-coding RNA NONPTRT016875
Source: RNAcentral